CCUACGGGAGGCAGCAGUGAGGAAUAUUGGUCAAUGGACGAGAGUCUGAACCAGCCAAGUAGCGUGAAGGAUGACUGCCCUAUGGGUUGUAAACUUCUUUUAUACAGGAAUAAAACGAGGCACGUGUGCCUUUUUGCAUGUACUUUAUGAAUAAGGAUCGGCUAACUCCGUGCCAGCAGCCGCGGUAAUACGGAGGAUCCGAGCGUUAUCCGGAUUUAUUGGGGUUAAAGGGAGCGUAGAUGGGUUGUUAAGUCAGUUGUGAAAUUUUGCGGCUCAACCGUAAGAUUGCCAUUGAUACUGGCAGUCUUGAGUACAGUUGAGGUAGGCGGAAUGCGUGGUGUAGCGGUGAAAUGCUUAGAUAUCACGAAGAACCCCGAUUGCGAAGGCAGCUUACUAACCUGUGACUGACAUUGAUGCUCGAAAGUGUGGGUAUCAAACAGGAUUAGAUACCCGAGUAGUC
This 460-nucleotide ribosomal RNA is filed under the name uncultured bacterium. RNAcentral's name for it is "partial 16S ribosomal RNA". It matches the Rfam family "Bacterial small subunit ribosomal RNA", at positions 338 to 795 of the family's 1533-position model. The record is from RNAcentral.